Molecule: non-coding RNA, 3636 nt
Organism: Triticum urartu
Lineage: Eukaryota; Viridiplantae; Streptophyta; Magnoliopsida; Poales; Poaceae
Source: RefSeq, a predicted model, not a curated record
AUGCCCUUCUUCUCUUUCCCCUCACGGCAGAGAAGCUGAUCGAUCAGAAAAGGUGAUCAAAUCAAGCCAGUCCGCCAAAAAACAGAACAGCUUUCCACGCGAGGUCGAGAAGCCUCUCGAACCUUCCGGAUUCCCUCAAACCCUAGCUUAAACCCUAGCAUUCUCGCCCGAAUUGGCGCGGCGGCCUCUAUGGCUGAAGAGGAGAAGGCGGCGACGGCGGAGGGGGACGAGAAGGAGGACGUGAGCGACGCCGACGACUCGCCCCUCCCGGCGUUGAGGCGUCGCGCGGCGGCGAGCGACGACGACGAGGAGGAGGACGAGGGCGGCGGCGGCGGAGGCGAGGGGAGUGGUUCCUCGCCGCCGUCGAGGGUGGUCGGGUCCGAUUCCGAUUCCGACUCCGACGAGCUGGGCGCGGCCGAGGUGUACGGCGAAGACGAGGGUUCUGAGGAAUGCGAGGAGGUUCGCAAGGAGUUCGACGCAGGAUCUGGGGGUGGUGGAGAGGCCGAGGAAGUGGCGCCGGAUGAGGUGGCUGCGGCGCCGGAGGACGAGGGGAGGUACGAGGAGGAGGAGGAGGCCCAGGCUGAGACUGGAGCCGAACUGAAAGAAGAUGACAAGGAGAACAAGGGGUUCGAGCCCGACGCCGUGCCGAGAACAGGUGCCUUCUACAUGCACGAUGAUCGCUUCCAGAACAAGGAAAACCGCGGCCGCGGGCGCCAGAGGGACUUUUUCGGUGGCCAAAAGUUAUGGAAUUUUAAAGAUGAUAGCGUAUGGCUGCAUGAUCGGUUUGAUGAGAUCAAUACCCAUGGUGUUCAGCAUGACAGUACAAGGAGGCCAAGAAGUCCUUUUAGAGCAUGGGCUGGUGGUAGAACUCAUGACGUUAACCAUGAUCGGUUUGAUGAGAUCAAUACCCGUUAUGUUAAACAUGACAGUACAAGGAGGCCAAGAAGUCCUUUUAGAGCAUGGGCUGGUGGUAGAACUCAUGACGUUAACCACGAUCAGUCUGAUGAGAUCAAUACCCGUUAUGUUCAACAUGACAGUAUAAGGAGGCCAAGAAGUCCUUUUAGAGCAUGGGCUGGUGGUAGAACUCAUGACAUUAACCAUGGUUCUCUAGAAGGAACCAAAUCCGCAUCCUAUUAUCAUGAUUACAGAGCAGACUACAAGUAUGGGAGUACCAACAACUACAAUAGAUUCCCAAAAGAGGCCAACAUUUCCUAUUACAGCGCCAAGAACUACAGAAGUGUUCCAGGAAAAUCCCAUUCGUACUAUGAUGAGCAGAACUUUUAUAAUGCUCGGACAGAAUCUCGAAUCUGUUAUGUGAAUGCUAAAGGUUACAACAAUGCACCAAAUGUUAACAGAGGGAAACCAUCAAGGCCCUACCAACCUACCUGGAAGAAUACUUUGCAAACCUCUUCAGUGCAAAACAAUAGGACAUAUUCCAGAUCACAGAAUGAGCAGGGCUGUUCUGAUAUAGGUGUGGGAAAGAACUCACAUCGAACUUUAAGUUUGCAGAAUGAACAAGAGUUUUCGUCGAAGCAAGAACCCCCCUUUGUAGAAAGAAGGAAAGCACGACCUGACAUUUUAAGUAAGCUCUUCUCAUCCUCCGUUCGAAUGGCACAUAGUUCUCUGAAACCUCAAUCUCGUCCCAGUUUUGGACUGAAGGCAUUUGCUCCUUCUGGUGAGCAUGGAAAUACUGCUGGUUCUCUUAGUAUGGUAAAAGGCAUGCCUAACCUUGGUUCUCAUUCAACUGUAUCAACAUCAAAUAGCCAAUAUUCAGAAUCCAGGGAUCAAGGAAGUGGUUUGAACAUUGGUGUCCCCACAAAGAACAAACUUUCUGCUCAGAUAUUCCAUCAAAACAUUGCCAGUGCCAGCAAAAUUCAGUCUCAUCCACAAAAUACACUGAUAAGUUCAACUGAAGAUGCAGAGACCAGUCCCCCUCCUGGGUCAAACAAUUCUUUAGCACCGUCUGUUAUAAUAGUGCAAAAUGAUAAGGUAGAAGCAGUGAGUGGCUCUUUCCCUUGUGGUGGUGGUCAUGCUCUUGAUGUUACGGGAGCAAAGGACCUUACUCUUGGCACUCCAGCAGUAUUGCCAGUUAUGAAGUUUGGUGAGCAGCAUCCUAGGGGACCUGAUAUCCCAUGCACUGGUAUGGCUUUCCCAGGACUUUUGGCUCAUCAACCCAGUGACAAUUCUGAGCUUAAUCAAAUUACUUGGCUGCAAACAUUGUCUGGUGCUACUGGGGUUCUUGGGGCAACACAUGAUCCUUCUUAUAUUGGCAGUCAUUAUCCCCAACUAUCAGUAUUCCCAAGGUUGGUGCUAAAGAUUUUGGCUAUCUUCAAUGUAAUCACAAUUACAGCAUGCAGAUUAUUAGGACACCAUAAUCUCAGAGGUAGUUUUUCCUAUGUCUUCUUACAAUCUGGAGCUCAAAUUUUCUGGUUACACUGAAUUGAAUGGCUGGCCUCGACAAUUACAAGGUUCUCAACUAUCCUUUCUCUGUACCGUGUUCCCACUGCGAGUCGGACUUUUGCUUUAGCUGCCUUCCUGGGAGUUCCAGUAUAAGUCAUAAAAUAGUAGAAAACGUUUCUGUGUAGGAAGUCGGUAAUUUAUUUUUUCGAAAAGAGGAAGUCAGUAUAUGGCUUCAUGGAUAUUGGAAAUGGGAUGUUGGAGGUUUUUGCGUUUCACCACCUGUUCCAUUGAUUCUUUUAUAGGCAUCAAUAUACAACACAUGAAUUUGUGUAACUUUAUACCUUGUAUCUUGGUGUGUGCAUUUCUUUUCUUCAUUCCAGUUCUUUGCAGAUUCGAGGUUUUGUAUCCAUGUAGAGUGCCUGCCAACGGCCUGACUAUUUCAAGCCAGAUCGCAUGUUUUACUUGGGAAACUUGCAUAGACAAACAAGAACUACAGUGCAGUACAAGAAGGAUGAAUACCCAUUGCUUUAUGUUAAUUUCUUCUUUUUCCCUGCAGACACCAUUGUGUUACUGAAGUUCCUGUUUUGUUGAACUCCCCUGAAAUACCAGGUUGUAGGUCAUGAGCUUGGCCAGCGCAAGAACAAACUUCUCAGAUAAGCUCGGAUCAUGGGAAUUAAAUAAGGUUUCUGCGUCGUGUUAACACCAAGUAUAUGUAUUGACAUCGCUUAUAAUUUAUCAGAUACUCAGAGAUGAACUUCGCUUCAUGAACAUGCUGUCAAUUAUAGCGCACAGUUCAGUACUUUCUAAGUCCAAGCCCUGAGCUCCUUGUUUUUUCCUCCUGAAGCACUUUGUCAUUGUAACAAAAUACACCAGGUUGGACUGUUUAAGUAAGCAAGUCCUUUUGCUAUAGUCCCGUCUCCUGUGCACUGGCCUGCUCCUUCUGCUGGGUCUGAUCUCUCAGCAUGAUGAUCCCAAGGUGGCAGUUCCGGUCCGUGAACUCUUGCUCCUGGCCAAGAGGAGUAACUUUGCCUCUGCUCUGCUCUUCUCUCCGUAGUAAUUUCCGGUUGAUUUGAUCGUUUUGUCAGCAUGGCCUUGGUUUGAUAUUUCUUCUAACCAACCGCAAACCAUAUCGCUUCUCACUAUUAGUAGUAGCAUGUUGACUCCUAGUUGGUGGUUAGCCAUGUCUUCGUACUCUUUUUGACGGAACUCGGUGUAGAUUAUUUUGUAUGCUGCUUA